This is a long non-coding RNA of Zerene cesonia (dogface butterfly), 447 nucleotides long. RefSeq lists it as uncharacterized. The transcript is spliced from 3 exons. The record is from RefSeq and is a predicted model, not a curated record. Lineage: Eukaryota; Metazoa; Arthropoda; Insecta; Lepidoptera; Pieridae.
UUUUUCGUAUGAAAAAUGUAAAUAUUAAUAAGUAAAUGAUGCGAUUUCAAAGAUGCUAAAAAUUUGGCACCAGCUUUUGAAUAAUUAAUAAACAGAAACCGAAGCUGGUUAAACUGGUGUCAUUUAUUUGGCAUGGUAAUGAAUUGUUAGAAAUAUAAAAACAUUAAAUUAAGGAAGAAAUGGGUAACAUAAAGCAAGUGAAUGCUCUUUUUGAAUUUUUGACGAAGCAUAAUUAUGGGGCGUAGAGGAAAAUUAUGCGCUGGCAAGUUAUGGAAUGAAUUACCUAAUAAAUACUAUCAAAGGUGGAGCAGCUAAGUAUGGAAAGGGAUGGCUAAGAUGUGGGACGGAAACUGAGGGCUCAUAAGCGUUCAUUUGAAGAUUCAGACUUGGACGACCCCGGAGGUUCUAAUUGUAAACAGAGUCGACAGGACAGCAGCGAGAACUCCG